UACGGGGGGGGCAAGCGUUGUUCGGAAUUACUGGGCGUAAAGGGCUCGUAGGCGGCCAACUAAGUCAGACGUGAAAUCCCUCGGCUUAACCGGGGAACUGCGUCUGAUACUGGAUGGCUUGAGUUUGGGAGAGGGAUGCGGAAUUCCAGGUGUAGCGGUGAAAUGCGUAGAGAUCUGGAGGAACACCAAAGGCGAAGGCAGCGUCCUGGGAAGCAUCUGACGCUCAGGUGCGAAAGCUAGGGGAGCGAACGGG
Molecule: ribosomal RNA, 253 nt
Filed under: uncultured bacterium
Lineage: Bacteria
Description: partial 16S ribosomal RNA
Rfam family: Bacterial small subunit ribosomal RNA
Source: RNAcentral